This 23-nucleotide microRNA is filed under the name Caenorhabditis elegans. RNAcentral describes it as "cel-miR-70-5p". Its record names the gene cel-miR-70-5p. Lineage: Eukaryota; Metazoa; Nematoda; Chromadorea; Rhabditida; Rhabditidae. The record is from miRBase by way of RNAcentral.
CGAAAUACUAUCGACGAAUAACA